This 583-nucleotide ribosomal RNA is filed under the name Bacillus pumilus. Its description in RNAcentral is "bacterial SSU rRNA". It matches the Rfam family "Bacterial small subunit ribosomal RNA", at positions 556 to 1140 of the family's 1533-position model. Lineage: Bacteria; Bacillati; Bacillota; Bacilli; Caryophanales; Bacillaceae. The record is from RNAcentral.
GGGCGUAAGGGCUCGCAGGCGGUUUCUUAAGUCUGAUGUGAAAGCCCCCGGCUCAACCGGGGAGGGUCAUUGGAAACUGGGAAACUUGAGUGCAGAAGAGGAGAGUGGAAUUCCACGUGUAGCGGUGAAAUGCGUAGAGAUGUGGAGGAACACCAGUGGCGAAGGCGACUCUCUGGUCUGUAACUGACGCUGAGGAGCGAAAGCGUGGGGAGCGAACAGGAUUAGAUACCCUGGUAGUCCACGCCGUAAACGAUGAGUGCUAAGUGUUAGGGGGUUUCCGCCCCUUAGUGCUGCAGCUAACGCAUUAAGCACUCCGCCUGGGGAGUACGGUCGCAAGACUGAAACUCAAAGGAAUUGACGGGGGCCCGCACAAGCGGUGGAGCAUGUGGUUUAAUUCGAAGCAACGCGAAGAACCUUACCAGGUCUUGACAUCCUCUGACAACCCUAGAGAUAGGGCUUUCCCUUCGGGGACAGAGUGACAGGUGGUGCAUGGUUGUCGUCAGCUCGUGUCGUGAGAUGUUGGGUUAAGUCCCGCAACGAGCGCAACCCUUGAUCUUAGUUGCCAGCAUUCAGUUGGGCACUC